UAAUGUAUCGGAACGUGCCCAGUCGUGGGGGAUAACUGCUCGAAGGAGCAGCUAAUACCGCAUACGACCUGAGGGUGAAAGCGGGGGAUCGCAAGACCUCGCGCGAUUGGAGCGGCCGAUAUCAGAUUAGGUAGUUGGUGAGGUAAAGGCUCACCAAGCCGACGAUCUGUAGCUGGUCUGAGAGGACGACCAGCCACACUGGGACUGAGACACGGCCCAG
RNAcentral lists this ribosomal RNA (220 nucleotides) under uncultured bacterium. Its description in RNAcentral is "partial 16S ribosomal RNA". It matches the Rfam family "Bacterial small subunit ribosomal RNA", at positions 111 to 334 of the family's 1533-position model. The record is from RNAcentral.